This 320-nucleotide ribosomal RNA is filed under the name uncultured bacterium. Its description in RNAcentral is "bacterial SSU rRNA". It matches the Rfam family "Bacterial small subunit ribosomal RNA", at positions 470 to 789 of the family's 1533-position model. The record is from RNAcentral.
UGACGGUACCUGACUAAGAAGCUCCGGCUAAAUACGUGCCAGCAGCCGCGGUAAUACGUAUGGAGCAAGCGUUAUCCGGAUUUACUGGGUGUAAAGGGAGCGUAGGCGGAAGGCUAAGUCUGAUGUGAAAACCCAGGGCUCAACCUUGGGACUGCAUUUGAAACUGUCUUGCUGGAGUGCAGGAGGGGCAAGCGGAAUUCCUAGUGUAGCGGUGAAAUGCGUAGAUAUCAGGAGGAACACCGGUGGCGAAGGCGGCUUACUGGACGGCAACUGACGUUGAGGCUCGAAGGCGUGGGGAGCAAACAGGAUUAGAUACCCUG